RNAcentral lists this long non-coding RNA (217 nucleotides) under Nicotiana benthamiana. RNAcentral describes it as "long non-coding RNA (NBEN_LNC037135)". The record is from RNAcentral. Lineage: Eukaryota; Viridiplantae; Streptophyta; Magnoliopsida; Solanales; Solanaceae.
CCCGGGUGAGGCGUACGAAGAACUCUAUGAGCCCCUAGCCUACAACCCUGAUUCUAGACCUCCAGACUCCCCUAUCAAGGGUCAUGUCCUCGGAAACCGGCAUUCUAGUCAUGUCCUGGCUAAUCACCUCUCCCCAAUGCUUCUUAGGCCUCCUUUUUCCUCGCCGACCGCCAACAAUCUCCAGCCGCUCGCAGCUCCUCACCGGGGCAUCGGGACC